CCAAGGAGUCUAACAUGUGCGCGAGUCACUCAGUCUUGUACAGGCUUGAGAGGCGCAAUGAAAGUAAAGUUGAUUGAUGGUGAUUCUGGGAUGUUUCGCGUAAGCGGCGGCACUUAGACGCAACCAUGGCCGGCUCAUUUCGCUUUUUGACGAUUGGGCUGAGUUUUAGCGUAUACGUUGGUACCCGAAAGAUGGUGAACUAUGCCUGGGCAAGACGAAGCCAGAGGAAACUCUGGUGGAGGUCUGUAGCGGUUCUGACGUGCAAAUCGAUCGUC
Molecule: ribosomal RNA, 275 nt
Filed under: Liochthonius alpestris
Lineage: Eukaryota; Metazoa; Arthropoda; Arachnida; Sarcoptiformes; Brachychthoniidae
Description: partial 28S ribosomal RNA
Rfam family: Eukaryotic large subunit ribosomal RNA
Source: RNAcentral